AAGGGCACCACAAGAACGCGUGGAGCAUGUGGCUUAAUUUGACUCAACGCGGGAAAUCUUACCGGGUCCGGACACACUGAGGAUUGACAGACAAAUACACACACUACGGUGUGUGCAUGAAAUAUGCUAGUUCUUUCAUGAUUAUGUGAUAGGUGGUGCAUGGCCGUUCUUAGUUCGUGGAGUGAUCUGUCUGCUUAAUUGCGUUUCACUAAAGGCACAUACACAUAAUAUUGUUGUGUUGUGUAUAAUUUAUAAUUAUAUCGCAUACACACAUAUUAUAUUGUGCUUUGAAAGCAACGAACGUGACCGCAACCUCUUGUUGCCUGUAUAUAUGUGUAUUUUAUACACACCACAGGCUAUUAUAAACUAGAGGGACCGCUGUUACUUUCUUUUAAACCAGAGGAAGGUUGCGGCAAUAACAGGUCUGUGAUGCCCUUAGAUGUUCCGGGCUGCACACGUGCUACAAUGAUCAUUGCAGUGCGCAUCUCAUUUUGUUAUACACUGCUUGUGCGUAUGUGCACCAUAUAUUUAUAUGUGUGUGUAUGUAUUGCACGCAGUAAAGCCUACUUCGAAAGUUGUGGGUAAUCAAUUUGAAGUAAUGAUUUCUCCAAAUAUAUACUGCACACUCAUAUACAGUGUCUUAUGUCCAUGAAAAUAUUUUAUAUUUUUGUGUGUGCAUUCGAUGCUCGUAUGUGCAAUUGUCAAUUCAUGGUGGGGACAGACCAUUGUUAAUUGUUGGUCUCGGUCUUAACUAGGAAUGCCUUGUACGGGUCUUUGGUUCAACAAACCACCCGGAAUACGUCCCUGCCCUUUGUACACACCGCCCGUCGCUCUUACCGAUGGACUUCUCUGUGAGUUUGAGGGACUGGAUUUUAUAUCUAUGGAAACU
Molecule: ribosomal RNA, 889 nt
Filed under: Haynesina sp. S16
Lineage: Eukaryota; Foraminifera; Rotaliida; Nonionidae
Description: SSU rRNA
Rfam family: Eukaryotic small subunit ribosomal RNA
Source: RNAcentral